GUGAGUAAGGGCCAAGUCGGGGGAGGCCUUGGAGAUUUAGCAAGCCGGGGCGAGAGGCAGCUGUGAGGAGGCUGCUUCUAAGGUACAGGGCGAAACUGGGGUUCGCUCCCUCGUGACCCGGGGUUUGGAGGGCAUCUUGAAGAGACACUGGGAGAUCGUAGCCCUAGAGUCGCCCCUUGUUUUCUACACUCUCUCUCUUCCCUGGAGAGUCACCUACAGCUUGUCUCGGAGAGCGUCGCUUCCCAGGUGCAAGGGCCAGGGACUUAGGAAGAGGGGCCAGCUGUGGACUUUGGGCAAAUGCAACCCCAGAAUGACUUGAAAGUAGGGCAUCUUUGGCCCUCCUGAAGAGAGGAAAUUAAAGGCGGACAGUCUGUGUAUGGAGUUUUCAGAUACCUUCACCUAAGUGAGAAACCUGCCUUCAUCAGGACCUCAGAUGUCUGACAGCCCUGUGUGACACCAAGAGAAGUAGUGGUUGAAACUACUGUCAAUGGACUGUUGCAUUGAAAUUUUGGAUCAUGUCUCACAUUUUAAUCAGGAAAAUAGGACCCCAGAGGAAUAAAUUCUGCAGGUCCCAAAGGCACAUAAAAAAGUGGCUCAGUGCCUAGGAAUUCACAUAAAGGAAAACAACCUGGAUCCCAUUGAGGAUAUUACAUUUAGUCAUCACGUCUCCUUAGACUCCUCUUGGCUGUGACAGCUUCUUAGACUUUCUUUGUUUUUGAUGAGCUUGAGUUUUGGGUCAGGUGUUUUGUAAAAAGUCCCUUCAAUUAGGAUUGAGUUUUUCUCAGGAUUAGGCUAGGCAUUAAGGAAUUUUGAGAGAACACAGAAGUAAAGUGCCAUUCUCAUCAUGUAUCAAGAGUGUAUACUAUCAAUAUGAUUUUCUCCUAUUGAUGUUAAUCUUGAUCACCUGGCUGAGGUCUUAUUUGCCAGUUUUCUCCACUGUAAAGUUACUCCCCCUCACCCAACACUGUACUCUUUGGGAAUAAAGUCACUAUGUGAAGCCCAUAAUUAAGGAGAGGGGAGUUGUGUUCUCCUUGAGGGUAGAAGGUCUACAUAAGUUAUUUGGAAUUCUUCAGAAAGAAAUUGGUCUCUUCUCCCUCAUUUAUUCAAUUUAUACUUUAGGAAAAAAAUCCAAUAAUACUUAAUUUUGUUAAAGUGUUCCAGAUUUGGCCUUUGGGAGCUGUUUCAGGUGGCUCCUAUGUCCCUUCAAUAUGCCCCCAUCAUUGUGAGGUUGUUUUAAGCACUUCUCACUAUGGCCCUAUACGAUGGUUCAGGCUCAUCUUGUAUUUUUCCUGUCCCAGUCCCAGAGUCAACCAUUUGGUUGUAAGUUUUAUCCUGGUACUCACAAGGAGCCCUGCUUCCUUUAUUGGAGAAUAAUACUAAGGAACCAAGAUCUGGGCACUAGAUGUGCUCUUGGUACUGAGGUUUUGUUGCUUCUAGGCCCUAUCAGCUGAUAGAACACUGAAGUAUAUAUGUAUGCAUAUAUAAGGAUCCUAACCAGGAUCCUUAGUUUAUAGCCCCCUAUAUUCUAUAAAUGUUCCACUUUUAAUAAUGACAUUUUAUUCUAUGGUCUUUGUUUAUUCUCUUUCAUCUAGAAUAGUGGUUGAGCUGUUGUCUUUUAUAGCAGAUGCUGUAGUUCCCAGAUGACUGAUUAUUUUUACCCUAUGAGCUCACAGUAGAGGAUGGGAAUUUUGUGUCAGCUGCCGGUAGAGAGGAGCCAAGCCCAGGCCCUGGUGUCCUAAAGAGUUGAAGGAGAAGAGAGAGAGCCUUAAGGCACAGAACCUCUGAGUUAGAAUCAGGGCUUCACCAGAGCAGCAGAUGGUCAAACUGCUUCUCCUUCCCCUCAGUUGCAAUUCUCUCAAGAACUCCAGGUGCUAGUAAGUAAGGUUGCAUUAUGCUGGCCACUCCAGCAAGUGAUGAGUUGAACAUGAGGCAAUGAAUAGGAUAGGGGAAAAGAACAGAAGUUUCGUCACCACCAAGAUUACCCCUACUCCCAUGGCACUCUACCCUUUUCUACACUGGACUUCCAUUUCUUGCCCUUGUAUAGUGGGACCCAAUCAUGAUCUGUUUCUCCAAGGGACUCUUCAUAUUUAAUUUCUCAGAUCUCUAACUUCCCUCUUAUUUGUGUAAUACCUCCAGGGCUGAGUUAGAGGAAGAGGCAAUAGCCUAUGGUAAUUACUCAUCUUGUCAAACUGGUCAUUUAAUAGAUACCCUUUAUCGGUUUAUUAGUUUUAUUAACUGAAUUCUGUUAGACAUUGGGGAUAAGUGAUGAACAAACACAUUCUCUGCUCACCUUAAUAUGUACAGUCUAGCCUUUAUCUCUCUCGCCUCAUCUUUGCCACCUUGGUUUCUUUCAGUCCUUGAUAAGCCUUUUACUACGAGGUCUCUGCGCAUGCUGUUUCUGUCUGGGUCCAUCUUCUCUACUUUGUCUAAUUUGAGAUCUCGGCUCAGACAGCACUUCUGCAGAGAAGCCACCUUUCCUGACUGAGCACCCAUUAUAUGUGUAAUUGCACUGUUUUACCACAGAGCUAGAAAGUCAGCUGCCAUGUAAGAGUCCUUUGAAAAGCUGGUAUUCACCAGCUUCUAAAGAUUUACCUCAUUCCCCUAUGGCCAAGCAGGUUCAAUUCUACUGACAACUGAUUAAAGGGCCUCAGCUGGUAAAUAUUAAUGUCUGUGUGUCAUAAUGUACCCAAAAUAGAGUAAGGCCAUAGGCAUAUCCUGUUUUUUAAUAAUACCCCAGUAAAUGAGGAUAAAGAGAUUGCUGGUUUUGUUCUUUUUAAAAAAUUUUGAAACAGAAAAAUCAUAGAAACAAGUGUCAGAUUUCCUAAUCAUUUGCUAGUGGACCCUAAAGAUAUAAUAUAGUGCACAAAUAUUUGACACUAAAUUUAGCUUGAAAAAGUAUUAAAUGAACAUAGUGGAUUUGCAGAGAAUUUGUUCAAAUUUGAGACAUCUGUUAACUAAAAUAAUGUGGGAUUUUCUUUUUUUGGUAAUCUAUAAAUGUCUUUAUAGUUAAGAAAAUUAGUAAAACAUCUUUGUGUAUAAAUUAUAGCUUGCAUAGCCUCUCUUACUAGCAGUCAUUGCGCUGAUGAAUAGGUACCAGGAUAAAACUUAUAACCAGAUUUAAGUGAGUAAUUUUAACAUGUUUACUCUGGGGCUCUAUAAAAAUGAAUAAUCUUUGAAUCUAUGGUUUUGUCAUUUUAGGAUAUUCAUGUAAAUAUGCUGCAGGUCCUGUGGCACCAUAGAAUAUUGACAAUAUUUAGUGCAUGUUGACCAUGUGCCAGAACUAUUAAAUUCAUUCUACACAUCUGUUUAUCCUCUCAACAACUCUACAAGGUACAUGCUGUUAUUUGCCCAAGGUCACAUGGUUAGUGGAUCCAGGAACUACUGUGGUGUUCAAUAAAUCUGAC
Long non-coding RNA from Equus caballus (horse), 3404 nucleotides. The record is from Ensembl. NCBI's taxonomy places the organism in Eukaryota, Metazoa, Chordata, Mammalia, Perissodactyla, Equidae.